Xyrichtys novacula (pearly razorfish) is the source of this 363-nucleotide non-coding RNA. The record is from the annotation of a GenBank genome assembly. Lineage: Eukaryota; Metazoa; Chordata; Actinopteri; Labriformes; Labridae.
CCUGAUUGGUUGUGAGGCAGACGCUGCUCCCCCGUGUCGUUCAGGAGCCCAAACAAAGUUAGCGUGCUACAAUAUCGGACAGUAGAAACCAACCAGAAAGUACGGAAAAUUGUCUGAAUCCUCCUUUGGCCACGACUGCCGACACAAGCAAGAAAACAAAGUAAAUACCGGAGACUCUGGAGGAAUAACGGGCGCUUAAAACGGAGGUAGACCAGACAAGAGCUAAAAAGCCGGGUCAACAUAAACGAUGGGGGACGCUUGGGGAUCUUGGUGACCCUGUAACCUUUCUGCUGGACAGGUAAACCGCUUUAACAAAGUAAGACAAGUGUCUGUAACAGAAGUGUUUCUUGUCAAACGGGACUU